GCGUGAAGGGUAGCUCAGUUGGAAGAGCAUAAGCCUCUGAAUCUCAGGAUCGGCGGUUCAAGCCCCAUGUUGGGCA
This is a non-coding RNA of Podarcis lilfordi (Lilford's wall lizard), 76 nucleotides long. Lineage: Eukaryota; Metazoa; Chordata; Lepidosauria; Squamata; Lacertidae. The record is from the annotation of a GenBank genome assembly.